CACAAUUUGAAUUAGUAACCUUGUAUUUUUCUAAAAUCAAUACUAUGUGAUAUUCUAAACUAAAAUAAAGAAAAAAAUUAUAAAAUGGUAACCAAUAAGUACAGGGGUAAAUGGAUUUCCACAUUUGAGAAUUUAAAAAAACAAAGCAAAAAGAAAUGAAACAGAAGUAGUGAUAUUUGAAUGCUUCAGAUGGAAACUUCUGAACUGUAUACUGGUUAUAUACUGCUGCAGAUUAUCCAUAUGAAAUUUGGUAGAAGAAAGAAGCAAUGAAGAUGUGGAAGAAAUAAAUCUUGUCAAGGACAAAUAUCCUGUUUUCCCUACACGUAGAAAUUCAGAAAAGGUCUGGAGCUAUUAAGCGGCUUUCUAGAAAUAACAUCAAUUAUAAUACAAGAUGCUUUUGAGGUGGUCAACAGCAUGAAGAACAUUUUUGAGCAAGAAGCAAUGAAUCAUCAAAGGCAAGCUGGUGUAACAGACUUUUUUCACUAAUAUUGUCAAUGUUUUGUUAUUUUGUACAAAUAUUUAUUUAAAAAAUAAUAAAAUGUAAUUUAUUUAAAGUCUAACUAUAGUGUUUGUAAAUAUCACAACACAAUCUCAUUAAAAUAAUGGCAGUUUCUGUAACUCAAAAAAUUUUUCAUGUCACUUCCACUGAGUUGUCAAGUACUAUUACUACUGUAUUACUAUUACUUAAUUAAUACUGUACUUCUGUUACUUAACUUAUUUAAUGAUUCAGUGUAAACAUGUUUG
Centruroides sculpturatus (bark scorpion) is the source of this 744-nucleotide long non-coding RNA. RefSeq lists it as uncharacterized. The transcript has 4 exons. The record is from RefSeq and is a predicted model, not a curated record. Lineage: Eukaryota; Metazoa; Arthropoda; Arachnida; Scorpiones; Buthidae.